AGAGUUUGAUCAUGGCUCAGAAUGAACGUUGGCGGCGUGGAUUAGGCAUGCAAGUCGAGCGAUAAGUGUUCUUCGGAAUACGGAAAGCGGCAAACGGGGUAGUAGGACGUCGGAACGUGCCCUGAGGCCGGGAAUAGCCACGGGAAACUGUGGGUAAUGCCCGAUAACCUCCAAGGAGCAAAGAUUUAUCUCCUCAGGAGCGGCCGACGCGUUACUAGGUAGUUGGUAGGGUAAUGGCCUACCAAGCCUAUGAUGACUAGGGGAUGUGAGAGCAUGAUCCCCACCACUGGGACUGAGAACUGCCCAGACACCUACGGGUGGCUGCAGUCGAGAAUCUUCGGCAAUGGACGAAAGUCUGACCGAGCGACGCCGCGUGUGGGAUGAAGGCCUUUGGGUUGUAAACCACUGUCAGGGGGGACUAAGCGCAAGUUGAAGGAGCCCCAGAGGAAGCGCGGGCUAAGUUCGUGCCAGCAGCCGCGGUAAUAC
Molecule: ribosomal RNA, 486 nt
Filed under: uncultured bacterium
Lineage: Bacteria
Description: bacterial SSU rRNA
Rfam family: Bacterial small subunit ribosomal RNA
Source: RNAcentral